Molecule: long non-coding RNA, 407 nt
Organism: Sus scrofa (pig)
Lineage: Eukaryota; Metazoa; Chordata; Mammalia; Artiodactyla; Suidae
Source: RefSeq, a predicted model, not a curated record
CCCUGGGAGUGGCUGGGGAGGACAGAGGCGGCUUGCUUGGGUCCGCGGCGGCAUGGGCCCUGAUUCCACUGUCUCCAGCACGGCAGUGGCUAGGAGGUUACCACCAGAAAACAAUAUUGUCUCCCUGGAGGUAAUGAGAAAAUUAUGGCGACCAUAACCGAACUAAAAAAGUGUAAAAGGCAAAUGAGACUUUCAGCGCUCCUGCUGCUGCAUGUGAAGCCAAUAAAGGGAUGUCUGACCUACCCCCGGUGCCUCAGCUCUUCUUCAGGUUGCCUGAAUCCAGACUGAUACUGCCUAAUCUUGAGAGUCUGCAGAACAGUUGCAUUGAGAUGUAGUCAACAUACAAGCAGUGUGUAAGUUUAAGGUAUACAACAUAAUGAUUUGAUUUCACUUAUAAACAUCAUGAA